AUGAUUCUUGAUGAUGAACUAUUUGAGAAUCAUAUCUACUCUUAAGUCUUUAAUACUUAGUGAGAAAUUGAUUAUCUAAGAGCUAGCUAGGAUCUUAGCAAGGCUUGUACUUUAGUGACUUGUAUCUUAGCAAGAUCAAGAUUCUUAAUUUUACUCGAUAAUAGAUAAUGCUGAGUUUUGUCUCAUCAUGUCUUUAUCUAUUAUCGAAAGUUGUAAGCUGAAU
Molecule: long non-coding RNA, 223 nt
Filed under: Zostera marina
Lineage: Eukaryota; Viridiplantae; Streptophyta; Magnoliopsida; Alismatales; Zosteraceae
Description: long non-coding RNA (ZMAR_LNC003765)
Source: RNAcentral